GGCUGUAUAACAAAAUUUCCUCAAAAAUUCUAAGUUAAAGACGGGGAGGUAAGCUCCCCGGCAUGAAAUUUAAACAACAAAUUUCAUGAGAAUUCUUAAAUUAAGGACGGGGAGGUAAGCUCCCCGGCAUGAAAUUUAAGCAAUAAAUUUUCGUAAAAUUUUCUAAGUUAAAAAAGGGAGACAAGCUCUCCGGCAUAUUCAAACUAUCUAAAGUUUGAAACGGGGAGAUAGGCUCCCCGUCACUUAAAUAAACUAUCUAAAGUUUGAAACGGGGAGAUAGGCUCCCCGUCA
RNAcentral lists this long non-coding RNA (291 nucleotides) under Trifolium pratense (red clover). RNAcentral describes it as "long non-coding RNA (TPRA_LNC007557)". Lineage: Eukaryota; Viridiplantae; Streptophyta; Magnoliopsida; Fabales; Fabaceae. The record is from RNAcentral.